This 1240-nucleotide long non-coding RNA is filed under the name Oryza sativa (Asian cultivated rice). RNAcentral's name for it is "long non-coding RNA (OSAT_LNC000888)". Lineage: Eukaryota; Viridiplantae; Streptophyta; Magnoliopsida; Poales; Poaceae. The record is from RNAcentral.
GAAAAUGCAAAGUUCUUGCAAGUCACUACCACUUUGUGCAGCCACUUUGAGGGCACUAGUUGCGAAGAAGAUCUCCAAGGAUGCACGCAGUAACACCAGUUAGUCAAGGUAGAUAGAGUUGUUUCCUGUACAUGAAAAAGCAACUUUCAACAGUUCCUUCAAAGGGAUGGCAAAGGUGAGAAAGAUUGAAGGAACAGCGGAGGAAGAUAUUUAUUUUACAGCAUCAGGUAGGUUGGUGUUGGUAUUCGAAUUUUUAGCCAGAUCAUGCAAACAAAACUAUAACAAGUAGUAACCAAAUUUGCCUGACAAAACUUUCUCUGUUUGAAUCUUCUACACUUCACUUUGUGUUCAAAUUCUUUUAGCAGGCCAUAUGCUCCUUAUUUCUUGAUUGGAAACAACAAUUAUCUGCUUGAACACUGUGGACAGACACCGAUUCAGAAACAGUGCGUGCGAGAGUAACAUUUCUUUUUUUGAGAGAACAACAUUUCACUGUGGGGAAAAGCUGGCCGGCUAUUUGCACCCUACAAUUACUUCAAAACAAGUGUUGGGGAAAUAUUUUGAGAGUUCCGUGUGAGGACUUUGUUGACGCAGGGCCACUGUUCGACAGUGUCACGUUGCUUUCCCAGCUUCAGGAAUGUACGAAGAAACACAGACAGCCAUGCGUGGUGGGAUUUGGACAUGGAAAAGGACGUUGAGGACGAUUGAUUGUCGGGCAUUUGAUGAAAGGAAACAGACCAAACCAGGUUACUGUGUUUUAGUUAUGGAACCAGCGACGCCUUCCUCUAGGAUGGAAAUUUUUGACUAGUUGGUGCCAAGCUAAGUGCUAAGUACAGGGCUAGCCGGUGGCUACUGGACAUCCACAAAAGCAAUUAUAUUAUGAAACUACACCCAAGUGACUUUAUGAACACAAAAGGCAAAGAUGCAGAACAAAAAGCUGAUAUCCACAUGGUUUAGUGGCAUAUAUCAGCACUAGUCAGCAUUCUGUCAUGUGCACUGAAACAUAAGCUAAGCAGCAGCGCAUCCAAUGUGGAGCAUUAUUAGUACCCAAACCCCAGGGUGUAUAAAUCUAUGGUAGCAGCACUGAGAGUUACCUUUUCAGGAGCAUUCUCCCCGUAGAAACCAUCAAGGCUGGCACAUAACUGAGUGUUCUGAAUUCUGGUGCUGAAGAACAACAAGAAAAAGGGCGAUUCCAGUCCAGAUCAUCAAGCUCCCCCAAUGCUGGGCAAUUUAUACUCUGGAG